Rhagoletis zephyria (snowberry fruit fly) is the source of this 110-nucleotide long non-coding RNA. RefSeq lists it as uncharacterized. The record is from RefSeq and is a predicted model, not a curated record. NCBI's taxonomy places the organism in Eukaryota, Metazoa, Arthropoda, Insecta, Diptera, Tephritidae.
GUACACAUACAUACCAAAACUCGAGUAUGAUGUCGCUACCCUGCAGCAAUAAGGCGGCCAAUUUUCCGUUAAGGACUAGUACUUCACUGGUUAAAAUUUGACUGGUCAGA